UGUCCAGGGUGAAGUUCAGGUAACACUGAAUGGAGCCCGAACCACGCACGUUGAAAAGUGCGGGGAUGAGGUGUGGGUAGCGGAGAAAUUCCAAUCGAACCUGGAGAUAGCUGGUUCUCCCCGAAAUAGCUUUAGGGCUAGCCUUAAGUGUAAGAGCUUGGAGGUAGAGCACUGAUUGGACUAGGGGUCCUCAUCGGAUUACCGAAUUCAGUCAAACUCCGAAUGCCAAUGACUUAUCCUUAGGAGUCAGACUGCGAGUGAUAAGAUCCGUAGUCAAAAGGGAAACAGCCCAGACCGCCAGCUAAGGUCCCAAAGUGUGUAUUAAGUGGAAAAGGAUGUGGAGUUGCUUAGACAACUAGGAUGUUGGCUUAGAAGCAGCCACCAUUUAAAGAGUGCGUAAUAGCUCACUAGUCGAGUGACUCUGCGCCGAAAAAUGUACCGGGGCUAAAUACACCACCGAAGCUGCGGAUUGAUACCAAUGGGUAUCAGUGGUAGGGGAGCGUUCUAAGGACAGUGAAGUCAGACCGGAAGGACUGGUGGAGUGCUUAGAAGUGAGAAUGCCGGUAUGAGUAGCGAAAGACGGGUGAGAAUCCCGUCCACCGAAUGCCUAAGGUUUCCUGAGGAAGGCUCGUCCGCUCAGGGUUAGUCAGGACCUAAGCCGAGGCCGACAGGCGUAGGCGAUGGACAACAGGUUGAUAUUCCUGUACCACCUCUUUAUCGUUUGAGCAAUGGAGGGACGCAGAAGGAUAGAAGAAGCGUGCGAUUGGUUGUGCACGUCCAAGCAGUUAGGCUGAUAAGUAGGCAAAUCCGCUUGUCGUGAAGGCUGAGCUGUGAUGGGGAAGCUCCUUAUGGAGCGAAGUCUUUGAUUCCCCGCUGCCAAGAAAAGCUUCUAGCGAGAUAAAAGGUGCCUGUACCGCAAACCGACACAGGUAGGCGAGGAGAGAAUCCUAAGGUGUGCGAGAGAACUCUGGUUAAGGAACUCGGCAAAAUGACCCCGUAACUUCGGGAGAAGGGGUGCUUUCUUAACGGAAAGCCGCAGUGAAUAGGCCCAAGCGACUGUUUAGCAAAACACAGCUCUCUGCGAAGCCGUAAGGCGAAGUAUAGGGGGUGACACCUGCCCGGUGCUGGAAGGUUAAGGAGAGGGGUUAGCGUAAGCGAAGCUCUGAACUGAAGCCCCAGUAAACGGCGGCCGUAACUAUAACGGUCCUAAGGUAGCGAAAUUCCUUGUCGGGUAAGUUCCGUCCCGCACGAAAGGUGUAACGAUUUGGGCACUGUCUCAACCAGAGACUCGGUGAAAUUAUAGUACCUGUGAAGAUGCAGGUUACCCGCGACAGGACGGAAAGACCCCGUGGAGCUUUACUGUAGCCUGAUAUUGAAUUUUGGUACAGUUUGUACAGGAUAGGCGGGAGCCUUUGAAACCGGAGCGCUAGCUUCGGUGGAGGCGCUGGUGGGAUACCGCCCUGACUGUAUUGAAAUUCUAACCUACGGGUCUUAUCGACCCGGGAGACAGUGUCAGGUGGGCAGUUUGACUGGGGCGGUCGCCUCCUAAAGUGCAACGGAGGCGCCCAAAGGUUCCCUCAGAAUGGUUGGAAAUCAUUCGUAGAGUGCAAAGGCAUAAGGGAGCUUGACUGCGAGACCUACAAGUCGAGCAGGGACGAAAGUCGGGCUUAGUGAUCCGGUGGUUCCGCAUGGAAGGGCCAUCGCUCAACGGAUAAAAGCUACUCCGGGGAUAACAGGCUUAUCUCCCCAAGAGUCCACAUCGACGGCAGGUUUGGCACCUCGAUGUCGGCUCAUUCGCAUCCU
This 1803-nucleotide ribosomal RNA is filed under the name Bacillus cereus ATCC 4342. RNAcentral's name for it is "bacterial LSU rRNA". It matches the Rfam family "Bacterial large subunit ribosomal RNA", at positions 737 to 2548 of the family's 2925-position model. Lineage: Bacteria; Bacillati; Bacillota; Bacilli; Caryophanales; Bacillaceae. The record is from RNAcentral.